RNAcentral lists this ribosomal RNA (557 nucleotides) under uncultured fungus. Its description in RNAcentral is "bacterial SSU rRNA". It matches the Rfam family "Bacterial small subunit ribosomal RNA", at positions 107 to 657 of the family's 1533-position model. The record is from RNAcentral. Lineage: Eukaryota; Fungi.
UGAGUAUACAUCGGAACGUGCCCAGUAGUGGGGGAUAACCCGGCGAAAGCCGGACUAAUACCGCAUACGACCUAUGGGUGAAAGCGGGGGAUCGCAAGACCUUGCGCUAUUGGAGCGGCCGAUGUCAGAUUAGCUUGUUGGUGGGGUAAAAGCCCACCAAGGCGACGAUCUGUAGCUGGUCUGAGAGGACGACCAGCCACACUGGGACUGAGACGCGGCCCAGACUCCUACGGGAGGCAGCAGUGGGGAAUUUUGGACAAUGGGCGCAAGCCUGAUCCAGCCAUGCCGCGUGCGGGAAGAAGGCCUUCGGGUUGUAAACCGCUUUUGUCAGGGAAGAAACGCUCUAGGCUAAUACCUUGGAGUAAUGACGGUACCUGAAGAAUAAGCACCGGCUAACUACGUGACCAGCAGCCGCGGUAAUACGUAGGGUGCAAGCGUUAAUCGGAAUUACUGGGCGUAAAAGCGUGCCGCAGGCGGAUUUGCAAGACAGAUGUGAAUCCCCGGGCUUAACUGGGAAUUGCAUUUGGUGACUUGCAUGGACUAGAGUGCGGAAAGAG